This 177-nucleotide non-coding RNA is filed under the name Candidatus Krumholzibacteriia bacterium. RNAcentral's name for it is "6S RNA". It matches the Rfam family "6S / SsrS RNA". Rfam says of the family: E. coli 6S RNA was the first non coding RNA to be sequenced, but its function was unknown until recently. Lineage: Bacteria; Candidatus Krumholzibacteriota; Candidatus Krumholzibacteriia. The record is from RNAcentral.
GAUUCCCUGCCCGGCACGUGAUGUGUCGUACAAGUGAGCCAACACUUCAACAUGGGGACCCCGACGUCCGCUCCCGGAAGCCACGCCCUCCGGGGAAGGCCGAAGGAAGCGGCAGGAGUCCCACCUGAAGCAACUCGGUUCAGUUGCUUCCGACUCACACGGCCGGGCGGGGUGUCC